UAGAGGCCCUCAGAUGCUGACAAAAGCAAAAGCAAACGCUACAUUUUGUGCUAAAUUUUCUUCUUUAAGGGAGAGAGGCAGAAAUAUUUCUUGGAAUGGAGGGUGAGUAGUUCCUUCAGAAGGAUUUCUUUAGAAUUGUGGGCUUUUUGGUCAUCUAUGGAACAGGGAAACAAAAAAAAAGAGGGUUGGGGAACAGGGGAACAUUUCAAAAAUCCCUGCUGAAAAAAGCACAGGUUAGAAGUUGUUGACACAGUCCUGAUGGAGGUGCUGAACUGUCAUUGGUGCUCCUAGCUUUCAGGUUCCAUUAGGCUGGAAAGCCUUCCAUUAGAGUUGGCAAGUAUAGCAUGACAUAAUAUGACUUUUUUAAAUACAACAACAUAAGACAAGGAACUUUUAAUGAAUGACAACCCACAAAACACUCUUUAUUUGGAUUCCUGUACCCUAAGAGUCAUGAAGAAUUAGAUUGGAGACAAUCAUACUGUGAACUCAGAAUGCAACUUAGCUGAAUUGAUAAUAUCCUGCAAACUGUCUUCUAACUUAUCCAUGUGGGUUUUUUUUUUAAAAACUGCUGUACAAAGAGUUCUUAGAAUUUUGAAAUGCUUUAAGUUCCCUGGGCACAGUGUGGCUGAAAUCUCCCACAAGCUUUGAAGGCUGUUGGAAUAUUUUGGGUAGGAACCAGGUUCCCUCCAGCUCCAGAAAAAUUUUCUUUUCCAACAAUUUUCCUAGCCUAAGGAGAAUCAGCCUUGAGUACUGAAGAAACAGUGCUCUGUUGACUGGAUGGUAGAAUCAGAACCCUCUCAAUCCAAGUGGGAAAAUCUUUGCUUGAUGUGAAUUUGAAGGAGGAAUGACAUCUUGCCUCCAGGCGUGAUUUUCAGUCAGCAUCUUUAAAUGCUGGGAUCAGCCAGCCUGUUGUUUAAAUUUUCUUUAAAGUACUAAGCAAGGGAACUUUAUUUCUUUAUUAAAAGGUAAUUUUAAUUGGUACCCUGGUAAAUCUGUCUAUUCCAAGCAAGUUUUUAUAAAGCUCAUGCAGAAGUUAUUUAAAAUUAGGGCAAACACAGGCCACGUUCUAGUAUGUUUACCGAAGGGCAUAGUUGCAUUUAUGUAAUGUCCUGUCUAUAGGAACCAAACACCUGUAUUUUAACAAUUUAAGUAAAACAGCAAUAAGCUUCAAAUGUUGGCAAUCUACAUUAAAACUUGCCUUUCUUAAAAUUAAUCUUUGCAUACUUCAGACAGUGGUGAAUAAAGCUCAGCUUUAAAGGGAUUCUCCAGCUAGUACUGAACUGAAACUCAAGAUCUGUCAGAGGUGUCUACCCUCUGCUAGCAGAGUGUGAAUUCUGAUCAGUGUAUUUAAUUUCUUGGACCUGGCUUACAAUGAAUUUUUAAAUUGUACAUUUGU
Molecule: long non-coding RNA, 1396 nt
Organism: Empidonax traillii (willow flycatcher)
Lineage: Eukaryota; Metazoa; Chordata; Aves; Passeriformes; Tyrannidae
Exons: 2
Source: RefSeq, a predicted model, not a curated record